GAUCUGAGCAAGUAAUAUUAAGCAUUAGGCUGUAGGACUGCAGGGUCUCCUAGCACAGGAAAAACAGCUCAGCUAAGUGGAGACACAAGCUCAUAGGCGAUCAUAUACUUGAAGUGACUGCAGGCAUCUUUAAAGGUUCUGAAAUACUGUCUGGCAGGAGACACCUUCUUCAGAAUGAUCUACAUAGCGUCCCUUAUACUUUUUCUGGCUGCUAUGUCAGAAGGUCAGGAACCAAAGAUUGUAGAUUUCACUGGCUGUGUCACUGGCGAAGAAACCCUACAGCUGAGGUGCAAACAUGAUGUCAAAAACAAAGUAGUUAAAUACGAGUUUUCCAUGAGAGCUACAAACAAGGCAGAGGAAAUACUGAACAGCACAAUCAGGAGCUCUGGAUUCACUCAGGUGUACAAAAACACAAUCAGCAUACAGGAACAAGAGAUAUGGCUAACAAUGCUCAACCUAUUCACAAAUGACUACAAUGCAAACUACAGUUGUAGUGUCCAGACAAAUACCAACAACCCAGUGAAAAAAACAAAAGAAUUUCUAAACGGACAAGUUGUUAAAUGUGCAGGAAUUGGCACCUUCAUGUUUGCAUGCAGUUCAGCCUGGUUAUUUGGGCUUAUCCUGUCACUGAUUAGCCUGCACUGAGAUGAUGAAGCAUCGAUGCUUUGAAACAAGACAAGAAGACAGAAGCAGAAAUAAAGCCAAGAGUACUUUCCUUUAAGACAAACUACAUUAAACCAGUGAAAAAAAAUUGAGCAUGAAAUGCACUUUCGCCUGGAAUGAACAGGACUGCAGUUGUACAAUGCAUUUCACAGCACCUUCCAAGGAGCUACCCAUCUUUUGUCAGUUCUUAAAAGGUUAACAGUCAUCACAUAAAAGUUCCUCCCACCUGUGUUUUGAAAAUACCAUCCACCUAUGUAAAUAUUUCCCCUUCCUAUAAUAUUUCCCAGCUCUGCAGUUAUAGUGCAUGAUGUUAGCAUUGCAAGAAUCUUUCAGUGUAACUAUUAUUUGACUAGAUGGAAAAUGCAACAUUAUAUAAUAUCAGAAUAUCAGCACACUGUGAUACAUAAAAAUACCAUUAAUUUCAUGGCACAAAAAAUGCCCACCAGGGCUGGUAGUAGAUAAGAGAUAGACUGCACCUCUAGAUGUAAUGGGUCAUCUCAUGUUAUCUUCCUUUCUUGUAUUUUGAAAUCUUUGGGAAUCAUCUCAAAUAGUCCCCUUUUCCAACUGGGUCACUAGAAGAUCAAACUGAGUGCCCUGUCUGAUAAUGCCAGGAGAAUUUGUAUAUGAGAUGACCAUGGUCCUUGAAGUAUCUCAUCACUGCUAAGGAAGUCUUGUGUAGAUGUAAUGCAGGGCACACAAGAUGCAGAAGGAGUACAAGGAUGCUUUAGUCAUAGAUCUGCUUUGGAAAAACAAAACUUUUAAAUUAGAUCUUAAAGAUAGCAAUCCAUAUGGUCUCAAACAGACAUUAAUAAUCUCUAACCUUCCUAUAUAUAACAAUACUCUGACAGCAAAAUAUGUCAGAAGCAAGUGAGAAUAUCAAGAAGAAUAAUGUACUCUAGUAAAUGCCAUAGUAUAUUGGAUAGAAAUGCAUGAUGUGAAACACAAUGUCUCAACAAACCUUCUUAUUGAAAUAAUGUUGCUCCUCUGUGGAAAUGUAUUAAAUAACUCCUCAGUAACAGCUCAUUAAGGGUGAUGGUGGAGUGUAAUAUUUGUCAACCACCAAAGAACUGGUUCAUUUCAGGAGGAUUCGGGAAUGUUAAAAAUAACUUUAUCAUUAACACUGCAGAACUGCACUCUGGCAAUGAACUUCUGUAUUGACAGUGUAUGGUUAUUUCCUCUAGGCUGGGCAUGUACUGUUGAAUUUUAUUUUAUUUUUUCCUUUGAAUUUAUUUGCCAAAAUAGGAAGAAGAAAUGAGGUAAAUGACAAUGGUGCAAAUCAGAUUUCCUUCACACAUGCCUGACGUUCUCUCAGAAGACCUAUUAUGAAUGUUUUUGCCAUAGUUCUUGAUGGAAGCAGUGGUGGGGGUUAAUUUAUUUACUCAUUCUUUGAGACAAAUUAGUGAGGUAAAACCUGAGGAUAAAAGGUUGGCAUAACAUAAAAGCAAUACUAGUACACAAAAGAGUAAUAUUUAUUUGGGAAACAUCUGAUUAUUUCCUUGAAUGAUAACAAUAAAGAGCUAUUCAAAAAUUUCAAUUAAAUUUAAGAUAAGUAUAAAAAUACAGGAUCAGGUAAAUCAGUAAUAUCUUGCAGAAAAAGUACUCUAUCAGAUUUUCUUUUUGAAAAGCCUUUUAGUAGGUAUACUGCCUAAGAAGGAAAAUCCUUAAUGAAGCUAUUCGAAUAUGAGCUGAUUUUUGAAAGAAUUGGAAACAGGACUUGUGUAUGAGUGUGUGCAUGGGUGUGUGUGCUUGCAUUUAGGCAUGCACACAUGCUUGUGCUUGGAGUGCACUUGUAGCAUCAAGCAAGGGACGUCACUGUGAAUAAGACACUAUGAGUAAUGUAACUGUCCAUUUCAAAGGGAGAAGUGGAUAGCCUAAUAAGCAAAACAAAUAGAGCAUGCAGCACUUCAGAUCAAUAAAGUAUUUAGUAAAGAAUAAUUGUGGCCAAAGGUAAUUCUGUUGGAUAAUUUAGCUGACAAUCCAACCAAUCCAUUAGAAGUUGUAGUUUCACACCAGUGCCUAGAAGAGAGAAUCGCUGACUCCAUUGCCUAGAAAACUGUCAUUAAAUUACAUUCUUCUGGUUUUCAUGGGGACAUUCUACUCAGCCAUCUCAGAAGGAAGCCUGCCCUAUAUAAGCACCCAACACAGAUAUGUUGUCUCUGAAGUUCUUUAUAAUUUCUAACCUGUUCUUCAGGUAUUGUAUUGGAGAUGAGGCAAAAUCCCUUCAUCUCUAGCUCAUUAGACAAAUUAAAGUACUCUGUGUCUUCCACAGAGGUCAGAUUUUGUUAGCCGCCAGUUGAUGACAGUCUUCUAUCAAAUGUUUGUUUAACGCAAAAGUCCCUGUUCGGUCUGUGCACCUGCAGUGGUGUUGAUGGAGGGGUGGCUAUAACAAUCUUAACAUUAUCAUGACCCUGAUUCAGAGAAAGCAGGUGAAACCCCUAGUAUAUAGGUCAGUCUUACAUUGCGUCUGUGUACAUCUGCCCCUGGGUAGAAGCAAGAGCAUUUAGCCAGACAGUCUACUCCGCAACAGACUGAUCAGAAAGCAAAAUUGCAGUAGAGUGUCAUCAAGCUAUAACAAUAAUUGUAACUUGUAUACAAUAUAAAUAAAUAGUACCACAAAACCCUAACAAAUAUUUUGGGGUAUAGUAAAGCUCUGUUUAUUCAACACACACAAAACAGAUAUUCAUAACAUAAGCCCUUGCUGAUAUAUGAGUGAAAAGCUUCAAAGCCAAAGGAAUGCUUCAAGCGUUCAGUUAAUAGACACUCAAGAAAGUUUCAAAUCCUGAGCUGUUUACUCUUCAUAUAUUAUAAUGGUCCAGCAGGAUUACAUCAUUCUUGGGGAAAAUAAAACUACUUUGAUUUAUUCUAAUAUAGCAUGGGGCCAGAUCAUGAUCAAAUGGAGCGCUAGGUAGGGGAAUGGACCAGGGGUCCCGACCACAGCCAUUCUAGUGUCCCAUUAGUCUUUCUCUCCCCAAUUACCAUAAACACUGCUCAAAAUUAUCAGCAUGCAUAAUACUUUUUUCUUUACUUUUGAAAUUAAGGAAAUUAUAUGGAUUUACUACUCUACUACUACCCUUUUUGAUAGCUGAGGUGGAUGGAAAAGAUCUUACAGCAGCUAAACGCAGACAGAUGGGGGUUCAGUUUAAUGUCUCAGCCAAAGGAUAAUGCACUCAAGAGUGCAACACUAUCCCCUUAAAGUGCAUUGCAGUAUCAGCAUUCCAUCUACAUGGUGUGAGAGUAGAACCCACAGCCUUCUACACCAAAGGCAAGUAUGCUUCCUGUUGUGCUUCUAACACUGCUUUAAAAUACUCUAUUAAAAACAUUGAUAGCUAUUUGCUAAAGAAAAGAGUUGUACAUUGAAAAUAGAUUUAGCAUGUGCAACAAUAAACAUUUCUUCACUUAAAACUCGCAUUCCUUGAAAAUGCACUGAAACUCUCAUACAGCCCUGUAGUUUUGAAGACUUUUUGUCUAUUAAGUAGUAAAACAAAAUUGCACAUUUCAUCACAUUUCAAUCAGUUCUGCUCAAUCUGGUAGUUGUUGUAGAGGAUUAAGGGUCAUCUCCUGGUACUAAGGUACAGGGUUUGAGCCUGAGCAAGCUAAUGAAUGAACACACACACACACACACACACACACACACACACACACACACACACACACACGUGGAAUUUCUCCCUAUGCAUCCCAGAUGUUGAAGCAAAGCAGCCUGAUAUAAUGUGCAUUUAAGUCUCUUGUGUUGCAGUGCCUGUGUCGUGCAUCAGGAUGCACACACAGCAACAUAUGAUACUUAAAGAAAAAAAUAUAAACUUUGGUUUUAAUUAAAAAUUAAAUGUUGUUACAGCCUCCAGCACCCCCCCCCCCCCAAGAGAGUGAGACCUAGGCAAUUGCCUAGGUCACCUAGUGCUGGAUUUGGCUCUGAUAUAGCAGUGAACCUGGAUUUAAUUAGUUUUUACAUACUAUGUUUUAGCUUGUAUGAAGUACAGUGUUCCCUAUGGUCUGGCUUAGCAAACAAUUGGAGCAUACACAUAGAAUCUUCUAGUAUCAAGAAAGACUCCUCUACAUAAGAUGUGGUAUUUCUACAGGAUAUGAUAUUUCUUCACUUAGAAGAUAUGCAGAGAUCAUGCAUAAAUGCACAGACAGUGAAGCUAUCUGGAUUCAUCAAUUCCAGAUAUGAGCAUAUAUGCAUAAAUAUAAUGUCUACCUUUGUACCUUUUCCUAUACGUAUCACACAUAAAAAGUGAUGUAAACAUUAAUAUAGACAUGGCUAUAACUGAGAUCCACCUGGCACACUCUCAGGUUAAAUAUAUGCAUUCUGGUAUUUACUACAUACUAACUGAAAUCCAGCUAAGUAUAUACUUUCUGUACUGCUGAACCAUAGAAAUAAAGGUGGACAACACUCUUCUCUCCAGAGGAUCUUCCUUUACUGGAGUAAUUGUUAAACAUUACUCAGUAACAGCCCAAAUGGACAUAUCUCAUAUGUACCAUUUAGCUAGCAUUACCUUUCAUUCUUCAUAGCAGAAACCUUAGAAAUAUGUCCAUGGAGUCAACAGGGAGGGCAUUUGCUUUCACAUGUACAGUUGUGUCUUGACAGAGAACUGUGACCUGUGAUGUUCUUGCUUAUAAUGAGGCUAUCAGGUUGAUCAGCAAUAGCCUUUGUUUUGUGUUAUCUUAAUGCUGCACAUUUUGAAAGCCUUAUAUUUAUGCAAAAUGAUCAAUGUUCACUAUAGGGAAAUACACAAAAACUCAAGAAGGUUUAGCAGGGCUGAGCUUUGCCUGUAGAAUGGCAUGUCCUAAAAUAAAGUGGUUCUUAAUGGGGAUGCUACAAGUUCAGCAUUGCAGUAGGUGGGGGAGGAAAGAAGAUGGCAUUUUGAAAGAUUUGCUGAAGAAUACUGCAUUCAGUGGAAUGGUGUGAAGUCUUUCUUAAAUCAUUAAUUGAAAAUCACAGGCUGGGACAGAGCAGAAGGAAAGGUCUAGAACCAAUGAAAUUUAUAAGAAGGACACCAUGCCCUAUUAUAAUGACAGUAUCAUGGAGAGUUCAAAACUGCAGAUUAUUCAGAAGAUAAACUGUGGGCUACAAUGACAGGAAAGGGGGAACAUCAUCCUUUAACUUUGAAAGGCAUGGUAAGGACAUAUUAUGAGUGUAAACAAUUUAUAAGGGGAAAUGCCAGGAAAAAUUGUGAAGUCAGUUGUUGUUUCUAAGAAGCUUAGUCUUAAAAAUACUUUACCUUUCUAAGCCAUCAGUACAACUGGUGAGCAAACUUAUCCUUCAUUUUGUUUUCCAGACAAUAUUUUGUUUGACAGUCAGUGUUUUAUUACAGUUCAUAUUGUUUUAUGUCUGUCCCAUUCACAACCCACUUCCUGUGACAGCUGACAAACUGUCCCUACCCUUGGACAUUUGAUCCCCUGCUUCAUACCAUUACACCUAGAGCUUUUCAAAAUAAACUCUAGAUAGUGUUGGUAAAGCAUUUCUAUGGCAGAAAAGAUGGCAGUGAUACAUUAGGGGUCAUCAUUGAUGGUAUCCUGAGCUAUGGGAGGAUUUUUAGGGGUCAUCCUCCAUAUUAACAGAGGAAUAGGUGGAUAUUAGGGAUUAUCAUCCAUAGCCUCCAGAACCAUGGAGAAUUUUAUAGCCAUUAUCCAUAGUCAUUGGAGCCACAGACAGAUUUUAGGGGCCAAUAUCCAUUAUCUGUGGAGCCAUAGUGGAACUUUGCAGGCAAUCACUCAUGGUUGAUAGAUAAAUAGGAAAAAAAAAUCAUAUUUAAUACCGUGAUUGAACCUUACUUGACUUUAGACAUGCACUGACAGCAUGUAAGAUCUGAGGGUAUACUUCUGUAUCCCUACAAUGCACAGAUGCAUACACAGUAAGUAAGAUGUGGUAGCAACAAAACCGCUUCAAAACAGAGCUAUAAAAACAAUGCAAGAAUACCUGGAAGUCUUGAAUAUUAACAUACAGUCUAGCACUUCAACUUAAAAAGCAUUAAACUGAAAUAACCAUGUGGAAGUGAUCACCACUUGAGUCUUUAGGAUAAUGACACAUGGUGGUGAAAGCCUAUAUGGUGCUCUUUACCAUUAUAGGCUACUCCCCAUAAUACCUGGCUGCUUCUUGAUACCGAGUCACUGACGGAAUACAGUCACAAUUACCAAUGAUGUGUUAUUGUAGCAUUUUGUUUUAUACCACAUUUAAGAUAAAGGCUUUUGUAUGUAGAAGCUUCUGCCAACAAUACUAGUUUUGAGAGACUAAACUAUCACCUUAAACAACAUACAAAAGUGAUUACAAAUGAAAACCUUUGAAGUAUUAACUCAUUUAGAAGAAUUCUAAUUGAAUGAAAUACAGGGAAAAUUUAUAUUGUUCUGCAUAUUUUAUUAAUUUAAAAUUAAAAUGUGAUAAUUUAGAAGAAUGCACAAAGCAUACAUAAUUCUGUUUAUAGGACCUUAAGUAAACAGUGGACCUUUAGAAAUUGUUUACUCUUCUAAAGAAAAAGUUAAGAUUUCCUGUGCUGCUUUCCUGUUGUACCCUAAAUCAAGUAUAUCUGCUAUCAAAGUGCCAGCCAUGCGUUUUAACUCUGUUGAGACCUUACUGUGCCAAAUUGCAUUACUUGUCCACAUUUUGUUGGGGUAUGAAGGUUGGGAGGAAUUAUUUGCUACCUGAAGUAUCAUGACUGCUUUCCUUCUGAGACAUUGCAUGCUUUUUAUUACUGCUGUGGUGUCUGUAUCUUGUUUACCUGAAAUAAUUAAAAUAUACUUUCAGAUAACUUUCUUUUUGAUGGGAUAUUACACAAGUAUUAUUAUUCCUGUGUUAUUAAACCAAAACUGACUAGCGCAGACUGCCAAAAGCACAUUGUUUUCUUGUAGCAUUGUGUACUGACAAACUCAUUGUGUGCCUAAAGCUUAAAAUAAAAGAUAUCUUUGGGAAAAAA
Molecule: long non-coding RNA, 7571 nt
Organism: Protopterus annectens (West African lungfish)
Lineage: Eukaryota; Metazoa; Chordata; Ceratodontiformes; Protopteridae
Exons: 4
Source: RefSeq, a predicted model, not a curated record